Sarcophilus harrisii (Tasmanian devil) is the source of this 3086-nucleotide long non-coding RNA. RefSeq lists it as uncharacterized. The record is from RefSeq and is a predicted model, not a curated record. NCBI's taxonomy places the organism in Eukaryota, Metazoa, Chordata, Mammalia, Dasyuromorphia, Dasyuridae. The transcript has 3 exons.
UUGGGAGAAGAGUGUUAAUUCAGGAAUCUGGUUCAAGGGAUUUUUUAUUCUGGAAACUACCCAACGUCCUUCAAGUCCCUGAGAUCCUGGUGGACCUCAAGGAUUUCACAUUGUGUACCCUGAGAGAUAGAUGCCUGCUGAAUUGAACUAAACCAGGCUUCAGGAGUUAGGAAGCAUUUCAUCAGCCUUGCAGAGGAAUAUAAGCAAUUCAGUUGGCCAGGCUAAUGGAAGGGCAGCAGUGAAAAUCCAGAGGAGCCAAUAACUCUGAAGAACAGCAACAACUCCCAGAGCUCCAGGAUUGAGCCACAUCCCAUACUUGAACUAAGAAUUCUCAUCGCUGCACUGCUAGCUGCUUCUGUCUUGCUGCCACCCCUGGAGCUUCAUGAUUUCCUAUAAUACAUCUCUGCGUGUAGCUGUACUCUGUCAGACCUUCCUUCUCUUCUGUCCUCCAGGUUCCUUGUGGCAUGUGCCCUUUUCCCUGUACCCCUUAAUGACCAAACCUAAAAGUAAUAGCUAAGUAAUGUCACCUUAGUUCGAACUUGAGUUUGUGCCAAAAGGCUAAUCCAAGAGUGAAUCAGUUUAUGCCUUGCUCAGGUAACAAUAUUCAGGUAACAGUAGAUGGAAGAAAAGUUGGACUAGAUGGCCCCUUUGGUUCUUCUACCUAUCAAUCCAUCAACAAAUAUUUCCUAAAGGCCUAUAUGUGCUAGGCACUAUGCUAGAACCAGAUGGUCACUUUGGUCCCUUCCACCUAUCAAUCUAUCAAUAAACUUUAACUAAGGGCCCUCUAUGUAUUAGGUACUAUGUUAAUCUCUGGAAAUACAAAAAGAAGCUGCCCUCAAAAAGCUCACAAUUUAAUACAUCUGUGAUCAUCAUAUCCCUAUGAUAGGUUUAAAUGACACCUCUUGCUAUUUAUUACCUACUAGUGUCAGUCAACUAGCAUUUAAAAGUCUGUACUUACUCUGUGCCAGGCAAAUAAAGGUGAAAAAAACAAAAUGAACCCUGUUCUCAAGGAGCUCACAAUCUAAUAAGGGAGGUGAUAGGCAAACUACUAUGUACAAUCUAUAGGCAGGAUAAACUUUGGGCAGUCUCAUAGGGAAGGCUCUAAGAGUGAGGACGACUAGGAAACUCUUCUUGCAGAAGGGAAGACGUUGGCUAAGACCUAAAAGAAACUAAGGAAGCCAAGAAGGAGUAGAUGAGAUCACUGAACCUUAGGCAAGACUUCCCAGUCUUAAGAGACUCAUGUGGAUUUUGUGUAACAUAAGACGGAACUAUAUACAGGAUCACUAAGAGUCUUUCUAGCUCUGAAUCCUAUGAUUCUGUGCCAAGUCAGGGUAGCAGUCUCUAGACCCUGAAAAUCUCUUUCCUGAUGAAUGGAAAACAAAUAAGAUGGGUGGACUCCCCAUUUCUCCACAAAGAGACCUGCUGGGUAGAGAAUACACCAUUCCCUUUCCUGGCUGCCUUACAUAGAGAUGAAUCAGCUUUUUCUCUGUCUUUAAUCCCUAAAUGUGGUCACCUUGCUUUUGCCUCCUGGCAGGGUGUAGGAGGGACGUGGUCAGGAUGGUCUCUGAUGCUUCUUUGUGGGCUGUCAGAUUGCCUUCUCUGGGUCACUCUAUUCUGGGAGUUGCCAUUUGUCCAAUCUAGGCUCCCUCCUCCACCUCCCCUGCCCCUACCCCUUCUAUUUGUGGUUACACUAAAUGUCCCAGACAACCCCACCCUCCCACAACCAGGAGCCGUUAAAAAAAAUUCUGCUGCCUUUUAUCCUUUGGUUCUGUGGCACUCUUAAGAAAGCCCGGGAGACACCAAUUAGCCCCCUUCCCAAAGAGCAGGCAGAGCUAGGCUGGAACGUGGGCAGAAUGUAACCCUGAUCCGAAGCCCAAUAUAGCUUUCCUGAGAACCUUACCCUGUAAUCUGUGCCUCAGGGACUGAACAGGGGAUCCAGAGCCUGUCAUUAUCCCCUGAAUGGGGGGGCACCUCCCAGGGAGUGGGUUUGGCCUGGGAUUCCCUCCCUUUGGUGUUUUACCCAGGGUCUAAGCCAGCCCUAUUCAGCAUAGUUGGGGCCAAAAGCAUUUGAAUUUAUGCCAGAAAAAAGAGCGUGGCAGCAGACUUUCAGGCUAUGGGACAAAUAAAAGUCAGACAGUGAGUGAUUGACACUCAGCUGCCUUCCCCCAGAUUUGGCUGCCUUGAAACUGCUGUGGCAGAAAAAUAAUAACAUGAAUGACUCAUUAAUGUCACACUUGAAGGUUUACAAAGUGCUCUGACAGAAUGAGAAGGGAAUUUAGGGUACAUCCACCCUGUAGCUUGGAGACUUUCAGGGGGAUAGAGGAGAGCCCCUCAUCUCACAAGGAAGCCCCAAUCCAUCUUUGGGCACCUCUAAUAUUUGCUUGUUUACAACUUCUUCCCAUUCCUUUUAGCUUUGAAGACCAAGUAGAAUGAGUCUAAUUCUACUUUUAUAGGACUACUCUGCAAAUGUUUAAUAGGAUCAUAGGCCACAGAGUCAGAGGAAAUUUCAGAGACCAUCUCCUCAGCUCAUUUAACAAAUUAAGAAACUAAGGCUUGAGGAGGAGGUCAUGGUCAAAUAGGCAGUAAAUGAAUUGAGGAGCUGUUCCCCACAUGUAAUGGAGAUGAUGUGUGGCUCAAAGGGAGGCAGAAUAGAUAUCUCCAGGAUUUUCAUAACCCCCCACCUUUCUCCAAAGGGCAUUUUCGUUUCCCCAGGAGGAGAAGCAGAACGGUGGGUACAUGAGUUUAUCCCCUCAGCUCUCUCCAGAGACAAGUAGUGUCGGGCUAGAAUUGUAUCUCUCUGGUCCUUUAAAUAGUAGUAGUCUAGGAGAUCUGAUCUUCAGGUUCAGACUUACUUCCAAUUGCUAUUUUAUUAUGGGGAAAGGAAGAGGAUCUCAAACUUUAUAUCCAAAGCUUGACUCCUUUCCCCCCAAUUACCAGAUUCUACAAUGAUAGCAAUUAGUAGAGAAGUCUCCAUUUAUCCAAAUCAUAGCAAAACAGAAAGUAGAGAAAGUAUGUAUAGCAGAAUGGCAACAAGGUGGCACAGUGGUUAAGAGUGCCAGCCUGUAAUCAGGAAAACCUGAGUUCAA